GAUGAACGCUGGCGGCGUGCCUAAUACAUGCAAGUCGAGCGAACAGAUAAGGAGCUUGCUCCUUUGACGUUAGCGGCGGACGGGUGAGUAACACGUGGGUAACCUACCUAUAAGACUGGGAUAACUUCGGGAAACCGGAGCUAAUACCGGAUAACAUUUGGAACCGCAUGGUUCUAAAGUGAAAGAUGGUUUUGCUAUCACUUAUAGAUGGACCCGCGCCGUAUUAGCUAGUUGGUAAGGUAACGGCUUACCAAGGCAACGAUACGUAGCCGACCUGAGAGGGUGAUCGGCCACACUGGAACUGAGACACGGUCAAGACUCCUACGGGAGGCAGCAGUAGGGAAUCUUCCGCAAUGGGCGGAAGCCUGAUGGAGCAACGCCGCGUGAGUGAUGAAGGGUUUCGGCUCGUAAAACUCUGUUAUUAGGGAAGAACAAACGUGUAAGUAACUGUGCACGUCUUGACGGUACCUAAUCAGAAAGCCACGGCUAACUACGUG
RNAcentral lists this ribosomal RNA (497 nucleotides) under uncultured bacterium. Its description in RNAcentral is "partial 16S ribosomal RNA". It matches the Rfam family "Bacterial small subunit ribosomal RNA", at positions 28 to 507 of the family's 1533-position model. The record is from RNAcentral.